ACUCCUACGGGAGGCAGCAGUGGGAAUAUUGCACAAUGGGCGCAAGCCUGAUGCAGCCAUGCCGCGUGUGUGAAGAAGGCCUUCGGGUUGUAAAGCACUUUCAGUUGUGAGGAAAGGUUUAGUCGCUAAUAUCGGCUAGCUGUGACGUUAGCUGCAGAAGAAGCACCGGCUAACUCCGUGCCAGCAGCCGCGGUAAUACGGAGGGUGCGAGCGUUAAUCGGAAUUACUGGGCGUAAAGCGCAUGCAGGUGGUUUGUUAAGUCAGAUGUGAAAGCCCCGGCUCAACCUGGGGAAUUUGCAUUUCGACUGGCAGACUAGAGUCUUGUAGAGGUGGUAGAAAUUUUCAGGUGUAGCGGUGAAAUGCGUAGAGAUCUGAAGGAAUACCGGUGGCGAAGGCGACACCCUGGCCAAUAACUGACACUGAGACGCGAAGGCGUGGGUAGCAAACGGGGAUUUAGAUACCCUGGUAGGCUCUG
RNAcentral lists this ribosomal RNA (475 nucleotides) under uncultured bacterium. Its description in RNAcentral is "bacterial SSU rRNA". It matches the Rfam family "Bacterial small subunit ribosomal RNA", at positions 335 to 799 of the family's 1533-position model. The record is from RNAcentral.